ACGCGGAUGUAUUAUGACUGGAUAUGACCUCUCCAAAAAACAACGGCUGUGUCAGGAACAGGAGGAGAACCUCGUCCUGAAAUGAGCAAAGUCAAAGGCCCGGUUCUUUUAGACCGGAUGGGGGGAGAGGCCUUACAACGCCCUAAUGUGCCCCCACAGCCCUGUUAGGGACAGGAGGAAAACCUCGCCCUAACUUGAGCAAAGUCGAAGGCCCAGUUCUUUUAGACCGGAUGGGGGGAAAGGC
RNAcentral lists this long non-coding RNA (244 nucleotides) under Elaeis guineensis (African oil palm). RNAcentral describes it as "long non-coding RNA (EGUI_LNC082567)". The record is from RNAcentral. Lineage: Eukaryota; Viridiplantae; Streptophyta; Magnoliopsida; Arecales; Arecaceae.